UGGGGAAUAUUGCACAAUGGGCGCAAGCCUGAUGCAGCAACGCCGCGUGAGGGACGACGGCCUUCGGGUUGUAAACCUCUUUUAGUAGGGAAGAAGCGAAAGUGACGGUACCUGCAGAAAAAGCACCGGCUAACUACGUGCCAGCAGCCGCGGUAAUACGUAGGGUGCGAGCGUUGUCCGGAAUUAUUGGGCGUAAAGAGCUCGUAGGCGGCCUGUCGCGUCUGCUGUGAAAACCCGAGGCUCAACCUCGGGCCUGCAGUGGGUACGGGCAGACUAGAGUGCGGUAGGGGAGAAUGGAAUUCCUGGUGUAGCGGUGGAAUGCGCAGAUAUCAGGAGGAACACCGAUGGCGAAGGCAGUUCUCUGGGCCGUAACUGACGCUGAGGAGCGAAAGCGUGGGGAGCGAACAGGAUUAGAUACCCUGGGUAGUCCACGCCGUAAACGUUGGGCGCUAGAUGUGGGGACCAUUCCACGGUUUCCGUGUCGCAGCUAACGCAUUAAGCG
RNAcentral lists this ribosomal RNA (502 nucleotides) under uncultured bacterium. RNAcentral's name for it is "partial 16S ribosomal RNA". It matches the Rfam family "Bacterial small subunit ribosomal RNA", at positions 355 to 866 of the family's 1533-position model. The record is from RNAcentral.